This 456-nucleotide ribosomal RNA is filed under the name uncultured bacterium. Its description in RNAcentral is "bacterial SSU rRNA". It matches the Rfam family "Bacterial small subunit ribosomal RNA", at positions 329 to 802 of the family's 1533-position model. The record is from RNAcentral.
AUCGUAACUCCUACGGGAGGCAGCAGUGGGGAAUUUUGGACAAUGGGGGCAACCCUGAUCCAGCAAUGCCGCGUGAGUGAAGAAGGCCUUCGGGUUGUAAAGCUCUAUCAGCAGGGACGAUAAUGACGGUACCUGACUAAGAAGCCCCGGCUAACUACGUGCCAGCAGCCGCGGUAAUACGUAGGUGGCGAGCGUUGUCCGGAUUUACUGGGCGUAAAGGGAGCGUGGGCGGAUUUUUAAGUGAGAAGUGAAAUACCCGGGCUCAACUUGGGUGCUGCAUUUCAAACUGGAAGUCUAGAGUGCAGGAGAGGAGAGUGGAAUUCCAAGUGUAGCGGUGAAAUGCGUAGAGAUUAGGAAGAACACCAGUGGCGAAGGCGACUCUCUGGACUGUAACUGACGCUGAGGCUCGAAAGCGUGGGGAGCAAACAGGAUUAGAUACCCGUGUAGUCCUAGAGC